RNAcentral lists this small nuclear RNA (61 nucleotides) under Echinops telfairi (small Madagascar hedgehog). RNAcentral's name for it is "U7 small nuclear RNA (ENSETEG00000025908.1)". It matches the Rfam family "U7 small nuclear RNA". Rfam says of the family: Animal histone pre-mRNAs are spliced by a different mechanism than nuclear pre-mRNAs and self-splicing introns. Lineage: Eukaryota; Metazoa; Chordata; Mammalia; Afrosoricida; Tenrecidae. The record is from RNAcentral.
AAGUGUUACCGCUCUUUUAGAAUCUGUCUAGCAGGUUUUCUGGGUUUUUUUCCAGACCCCA